This 164-nucleotide ribosomal RNA is filed under the name uncultured bacterium. Its description in RNAcentral is "partial 16S rRNA". It matches the Rfam family "Bacterial small subunit ribosomal RNA", at positions 355 to 511 of the family's 1533-position model. The record is from RNAcentral.
UAGGGAAUCUUCCACAAUGGGCGAAAGCCUGAUGGAGCAACGCCGCGUGUGUGAUGAAGGGUUUCGGCUCGUAAAACACUGUUGUAAGAGAAGAAUGACAUUGAGAGUAACUGUUCAAUGUGUGACGGUAUCUUGCCAGAAGGGAACGGCUAAAUACGUACCAG